Molecule: long non-coding RNA, 469 nt
Filed under: Ananas comosus (pineapple)
Lineage: Eukaryota; Viridiplantae; Streptophyta; Magnoliopsida; Poales; Bromeliaceae
Description: long non-coding RNA (ACOM_LNC033988)
Source: RNAcentral
GUUAGCUAACCCCACCUCAAAUAAAUUAUCCCGGGUUAGCUAACUCCACCUAACCCCACCAAACUCCAACCAAACACUAUUUUAUAUUCAUAAUAACUCACUAUCUUUCUUAUCACACCUACUCCAACCAAUCAUUAUCCUUCUUUAUCAAUCAUUAUCUUCUUAUCCCACCUACUCCAACCCCACCUACUCCAACCAAUCAUUAUCCUUCUUUAUCAAUCAUUAUCUUCUUAUCCCACCUACUCCAACCAAACACUAUUUUUCAUUAUUCUAGACUAACUCCAACCCCCAACCAAACACAAAAAAACUUUAACCACACUUUAACCCUGAACUUAACCCUAUCCUUGGAAUAGCUACUUUUUCCUUAACCCCGAACCAAACGGAGGCUAAGUGAAAUAUUACAUAACUAGUAUAUUCUUCUUAGAAUUGUUAAAGAAAGACCGUUUACAAUUAGUGAUAAAUUACUUAC